GACGAACGCUGGCGGCGUGCCUAAUACAUGCAAGUAGAACGCUGAAGAGAGGAGCUUGCUCUUCUUGGAUGAGUUGCGAACGGGUGAGUAACGCGUAGGUAACCUGCCUUGUAGCGGGGGAUAACUAUUGGAAACGAUAGCUAAUACCGCAUAACAAUGGAUGACCCAUGUCAUUUAUUUGAAAGGGGCAAUUGCUCCACUACAAGAUGGACCUGCGUUGUAUUAGCUAGUAGGUGAGGUAACGGCUCACCUAGGCGACGAUACAUAGCCGACCUGAGAGGGUGAUCGGCCACACUGGGACUGAGACACGGCCCAGACUCCUACGGGAGGCAGCAGUAGGGAAUCUUCGGCAAUGGGGGCAACCCUGACCGAGCAACGCCGCGUGAGUGAAGAAGGUUUUCGGAUCGUAAAGCUCUGUUGUAAGUCAAGAACGAGUGUGAGAGUGGAAAGUUCACACUGUGACGGUAGCUUACCAGAAAGGGACGGCUAACUACGUGCCAGCAGCCGCGGUAAUACGUAGGUCCCGAGCGUUGUCCGGAUUUAUUGGGCGUAAAGCGAGCGCAGGCGGUUUGAUAAGUCUGAAGUUAAAGGCUGUGGAUCAACCAUAGUUCGCUUUGGAAACUGUCAAACUUGAGUGCAGAAGGGGAGAGUGGAAUUCCAUGUGUAGCGGUGAAAUGCGUAGAUAUAUGGAGGAACACCAGUGGCGAAAGCGGCUCUCUGGUCUGUAACUGACGCUGAGGCUCGAAAGCGUGGGGAGCGAACAGGAUUAGAUACCCUGGUAGUCCACGCCGUAAACGAUGAGUGCUAGGUGUUGGAUCCUUUCCGGGAUUCAGUGCCGCAGCUAACGCAUUAAGCACUCCGCCUGGGGAGUACGACCGCAAGGUUGAAACUCAAAGGAAUUGACGGGGGCCCGCACAAGCGGUGGAGCAUGUGGUUUAAUUCGAAGCAACGCGAAGAACCUUACCAGGUCUUGACAUCCCGAUGCUAUUUCUAGAGAUAGAAAGUUACUUCGGUACAUCGGUGACAGGUGGUGCAUGGUUGUCGUCAGCUCGUGUCGUGAGAUGUUGGGUUAAGUCCCGCAACGAGCGCAACCCCUAUUGUUAGUUGCCAUCAUUCAGUUGGGCACUCUAGCGAGACUGCCGGUAAUAAACCGGAGGAAGGUGGGGAUGACGUCAAAUCAUCAUGCCCCUUAUGACCUGGGCUACACACGUGCUACAAUGGUUGGUACAACGAGUUGCGAGUCGGUGACGGCAAGCUAAUCUCUUAAAGCCAAUCUCAGUUCGGAUUGUAGGCUGCAACUCGCCUACAUGAAGUCGGAAUCGCUAGUAAUCGCGGAUCAGCACGCCGCGGUGAAUACGUUCCCGGGCCU
Molecule: ribosomal RNA, 1369 nt
Filed under: uncultured bacterium
Lineage: Bacteria
Description: bacterial SSU rRNA
Rfam family: Bacterial small subunit ribosomal RNA
Source: RNAcentral